AUUGAACGCUGGCGGCAGGCCUAACACAUGCAAGUCGAGCGGAGCGGCGGACGGGUGAGUAAUGCCUAGGAAUCUGCCUGGUAGUGGGGGAUAACGACCGGAAACGGGAGCUAAUACCGCAUACUAUCAGAUGAGCCUAGGUCGGAUUAGCUAGUUGGAGGGGUAAAGGCCCACCAAGGCGACGAUCCCUAGCUGGUCUGAGAGGAUGAUCAGUCACACUGGAACUGAGACACGGUCCAGACUCCUACGGGAGGCAGCAGUGGGGAAUAUUGGACAAUGGGCGAAAGCCUGAUGCAGCCAUGCCGCGUGUGUGAAGAAGGUCUUCGGGUUGUAAAGCACUUUAAGUGGGGAGGCGUUACCCGCAGAAGAAGCACCGGCUAACUCCGUGCCAGCAGCCGCGGUAAUUC
This 407-nucleotide ribosomal RNA is filed under the name uncultured bacterium. Its description in RNAcentral is "partial 16S ribosomal RNA". It matches the Rfam family "Bacterial small subunit ribosomal RNA", at positions 30 to 526 of the family's 1533-position model. The record is from RNAcentral.